UCGUCACACUAUCAUUAACUGAAUCCAUAGGUUAAUGAGGCGAACCGGGGGAACUGAAACAUCUAAGUACCCCGAGGAAAAGAAAUCAACCGAGAUUCCCCCAGUAGCGGCGAGCGAACGGGGAGGAGCCCAGAGCCUGAAUCAGCAUGUGUGUUAGUGGAAGCGUCUGGAAAGGCGCGCGAUACAGGGUGACAGCCCCGUACACAAAAGCGCAUGUGCUGUGAGCUCGAUGAGUAGGGCGGGACACGUGGUAUCCUGUCUGAAUAUGGGGGGACCAUCCUCCAAGGCUAAAUACUCCUGACUGACCGAUAGUGAACCAGUACCGUGAGGGAAAGGCGAAAAGAACCCCGGCGAGGGGAGUGAAAAAGAACCUGAAACCGUGUACGUACAAGCAGUGGGAGCACAGGUUUACCUGUGUGACUGCGUACCUUUUGUAUAAUGGGUCAGCGACUUAUAUUCUGUAGCAAGGUUAACCGAAUAGGGGAGCCGGAGGGAAACCGAGUCUUAAYYGGGCGUUAAGUUGCAGGGUAUAGACCCGAAACCCGGUGAUCUAGCCAUGGGCAGGUUGAAGGUUGGGUAACACUAACUGGAGGACCGAACCGACUAAUGUUGAAAAAUUAGCGGAUGACCUGUGGCUGGGGGUGAAAGGCCAAUCAAACCGGGAGAUAGCUGGUUCUCCCCGAAAGCUAUUUAGGUAGCGCCUCGUGAAUUCAUCUCCGGGGGUAGAGCACUGUUUCGGCUAGGGGGCCAUCCCGGCUU
Molecule: ribosomal RNA, 759 nt
Filed under: Salmonella enterica subsp. enterica serovar Infantis
Lineage: Bacteria; Pseudomonadati; Pseudomonadota; Gammaproteobacteria; Enterobacterales; Enterobacteriaceae
Also listed under: 1 other name
Description: partial 23S ribosomal RNA
Source: RNAcentral